GAGGGUAUAGCUCAAGGGUAGAGUACGUGCUUAACAUGCACAAGGUCCUGGGUAUAAUCCCCAGUACCUCCA
This is a transfer RNA of Camelus ferus (Wild Bactrian camel), 72 nucleotides long. It matches the Rfam family "tRNA". From Rfam's summary of the family: Transfer RNA (tRNA) molecules are approximately 80 nucleotides in length. Their secondary structure includes four short double-helical elements and three loops (D, anti-codon, and T loops). NCBI's taxonomy places the organism in Eukaryota, Metazoa, Chordata, Mammalia, Artiodactyla, Camelidae. The record is from Rfam.